RNAcentral lists this ribosomal RNA (253 nucleotides) under uncultured bacterium. Its description in RNAcentral is "partial 16S ribosomal RNA". It matches the Rfam family "Bacterial small subunit ribosomal RNA", at positions 524 to 776 of the family's 1533-position model. The record is from RNAcentral.
UACGUAGGGGGCAAGCGUUGUCCGGAUUUACUGGGCGUAAAGAGCGCGCAGGCGGUCGUUCAAGUCGAGUGUGAAAGCCCCCGGCUCAACUGGGGAGGGUCACUCGAUACUGAUCGACUCGAAGGCAGAAGAGGGAAGCGGAAUUCCCGGUGUAGUGGUGAAAUGCGUAGAUAUCGGAAGGAACACCGGUGGCGAAAGCGGCACGCUGGAUCCCUACUGACGCUGAGGCACGAAAGCCAGGGGAGCAAACGGG